Molecule: ribosomal RNA, 459 nt
Filed under: uncultured bacterium
Lineage: Bacteria
Description: partial 16S ribosomal RNA
Rfam family: Bacterial small subunit ribosomal RNA
Source: RNAcentral
CCUACGGGAGGCAGCAGUGAGGAAUAUUGGUCAAUGGCCGGAAGGCUGAACCAGCCAAGCCGCGUGACGGACUAAGGUGCCAAGCAUUGUACACUUCUUUUGUCAAGGUACAAAAUCAGGCUCGAGAGCCUGACCGCGGGUACUUGAAGAAAAAGCAUCGACUAACUCCGUGCCAGCAGCCGCGGUAAUACGGAGGAUGCGAGCGUUAUCCUGAUUUAUUGGGUUUAAUGUGUGCGUAGGCGGAGUGUUAAGUCAGCGGUAAAAGCCCGGGGCUCAACCCCGGCGAGCCGUUGAAACUGGCUGUCUUGAGAUGUCGAGAGGUAUGCGGAAUGCGCAGUGUAGCGGUGAAAUGCGUAGAUAUUGCGAAGAACUCCGAUUGCGAAGGCAGCAUACCGGCGGCGAUCUGACGCUGAGGCACGAAAGCGUGGGUAUCGAACAGGAUUAGAUACACUGGUAGUC